AAUAUAAGAACCUAUUUUUUAAUUUAGAAAUAAGAUGGAAAAAAAUAUAAAAAAUUCUUGAUCUAAUUUCUAUAUUUUUUAACCAUUAUUAGAAGAUUUAUUUUGAAUUAUUUUUGAAAGCAAAGGUGGAGGUGAUAAAUUGAUUAAGAAAUUGGAACAAGGCUUCAUUAAUACAAAGGACUUACAAAAGAGAUGUUUAGAGAAGUUUUCUUGGAAUUGAAGUGGUUAUGUAAUACAAUUGAUGAAUUUUAAAAUAGAAUAAGAUUAUAUAUAGAAAUUGAAUUCUUAAGAUGCAACCAAUUAAUUUUGUGUAAUUUAGAAGAAAUUGAGCAAGAUUAAAAAGAAUUAUAUGAAAGAUUUUGCAAUGAAGCAAAGAAAUUAAGCCAUUAU
This 390-nucleotide long non-coding RNA is filed under the name Physcomitrium patens. RNAcentral describes it as "long non-coding RNA (PPAT_LNC009607)". The record is from RNAcentral. Lineage: Eukaryota; Viridiplantae; Streptophyta; Bryopsida; Funariales; Funariaceae.